This 440-nucleotide ribosomal RNA is filed under the name uncultured bacterium. RNAcentral describes it as "partial 16S ribosomal RNA". It matches the Rfam family "Bacterial small subunit ribosomal RNA", at positions 338 to 795 of the family's 1533-position model. The record is from RNAcentral.
CCUACGGGGGGCAGCAGUGGGGAAUAUUGCACAAUGGGGGAAACCCUGAUGCAGCGACGCCGCGUGAGUGAAGAAGUAAUUCGUUAUGUAAAGCUCUAUCAGCAGGGAAGAAAAUGACGGUACCUGAGUAAGAAGCCACGGCUAACUACGUGCCAGCAGCCGCGGUAAUACGUAGGGUGCAAGCGUUAUCCGGAUUUACUGGGUGUAAAGGGAGCGUAGACGGCAGUGCAAGUCUGGAGUGAAAUGUGAGGGCUUAACCCCCGGACUGCUCUGGAAACUGUACGGCUGGAGUGCAGGAGAGGUAAGUGGAAUUCCUAGUGUAGCGGUGAAAUGCGUAGAGAUUAGGAGGAACACCAGUUGCGAAGGCAGCUUACUAGACUGUAACUGACGUUGAGGCACGAAAGCGUGGGGAGCAAACAGGAUUAGAUACCCGUGUAGUC